CAAAUAAGAGCAGAUGCUUCUGUGGCUGGGAUUUAAUUCCCUACUUUUCCUAUGACGUGUUUGAGGAUGAAAGCGGAGCAGUGAUGGGUGAAGAGCCCUCGUUGUUCUGUACAAUGAAAGGAAAAACAGACAACCAGUUCUUUCCAGGUUUUCUUUCUCAACACUCGAUGAUCAAGAAUUCAUUCUUCAGACACGCCCGUGUACUGAUACAUGCACCCGCAAACGAUGAUGACCAAAGACAACAUACGCACGACCCUCCUGAAUUCUGCCCCAUCUGCUCCACUGUGUUGCUUUUGCCCACAACUGUCUGGAAAUGAUUAUAGAAGAUUAGUCUUGCAUAAGAAGUGGAAGAGGAGACUCGCUGAAUGGGGCUCAGUGCGUUGACCCUUCUGCAACACUCGUCCCAAAUACUUGUGUUAUUAUGUGCGAUUGGUGCUCGUGAGGAAUUAGCAGCUAGCUUGUUUGCGGUGCAUGUGUGUUGUUGUAAGUACUGCACGUUGUGCUACAGUAAGGCAAACAUGUAACUGACUUCAUGGCUGCGCCGUUCAGAUAACACAAACACAAUUAAUUCAGUGUAGGGAAAUGCAAAACAAACUCAGCCGGGCAAUUUUCUGUUCAUCUACAAAAAGCAAAAAAAAAAAAAAAAAAGAAACAAAAA
Long non-coding RNA from Betta splendens (Siamese fighting fish), 658 nucleotides. RefSeq lists it as uncharacterized. The transcript is spliced from 2 exons. Lineage: Eukaryota; Metazoa; Chordata; Actinopteri; Anabantiformes; Osphronemidae. The record is from RefSeq and is a predicted model, not a curated record.